This 253-nucleotide ribosomal RNA is filed under the name uncultured bacterium. Its description in RNAcentral is "partial 16S ribosomal RNA". It matches the Rfam family "Bacterial small subunit ribosomal RNA", at positions 524 to 776 of the family's 1533-position model. The record is from RNAcentral.
UACGGGGGGGGCAAGCGUUGUUCGGAAUUACUGGGCGUAAAGGGUCUGUAGGUGGCCAACUAAGUCAGACGUGAAAUCCCUCAGCUUAACUGGGGAACUGCGUCUGAUACUGGAUGGCUUGAGUGUGGGAGAGGAAUGCGGAAUUCCCGGUGUAGUGGUGGAAUGCGUAGAUAUCGGGAGGAACACCAGUGGCGAAGGCGGUUGCCUGGAGCUUUGCUGACGCUGAGGCGCGAAAGCGUGGGGAGCGAUCCGG